GCCGAUAUAUCCCGUCUUCUUUUCACCUGGCCUCUGCUCUGCUCACCGCCCGCAAUUCCUCCCUCUUCCCCUCGCGGCCGCCGUCGCCGUUGCGUCUUAUCGACGUGCGUUCGGAGCCCGUCGCGCUCCCUCCACCGUCCGAUUUUCGUUCCAGGUACCGGUGCGGCCUCUUGAAGCGGAUGAGAAAGGGGCCAGAGGACUCACAAGAUUGGUCUCUCUCCAACUGCCAGAAUUGAUAUUGAUGAGAGUGUGUUUGCCAUGACAGUCUUGGUGUUCUAAUUCUGGUAAGUGAGCAAAGUUAGAUAGUAAGUGGUACAACAUCAUGAGGAAAACUGCAAAGGGGGCUGAAAGAGAGGUGGCAUACAUCAUGUAUGAUGAUGAAUAGAACCAACAAGGUUGUAGAGGCUGACUAAGGAUCAUCCAUAACUUCAAAUAAUCUCUUGACAGUGGUGAUCCAAUCGAGGAAGCUGUCUGGAUUGAGCCUGCUGUAAAAUUCAGGAAGCUUGGCUUUGAUGUUGAAGAGCCUAUCAUGGUCUUGCGCGACUCUUAUUAAGCAGGGGGAGAUGAACCAGCCCUUGAUCUAGACCAUGGUGGUGGAAGAGUUGAUGAGAUGCUUAGAAGGAAUAUCCGAUGGCACAUCAUCCUCCCGGUUUGAUCCUUUAAGGUGGAAAUCAAGGCCUACAGCAUGAUCAUGCUCUGCUUGUAGUUGUGCUAUAUGUUCUUGCAACUGUUGGAUCUCCAUAUCUGACAUUUAAUGAGAUGGAGAAAUAACAAAAGACUUGAAGAUCAAGAUGGGAAAGAGAACAGAAACCCCAACCUGAGCCAAGCAUUUGAUAUUGCAACAACUGUUACAGCAACCUUAUUUUGAUAAACAUGUUAUUUCUCUUCAGUAUUCCUGUUCAUCUACUAUUUCUGUUGUGUAGAAAGCUUAGACAAGAUUUAUUUGUAAAUAAAAAAAAAAUCAUUUUCC
Elaeis guineensis (African oil palm) is the source of this 970-nucleotide long non-coding RNA. RefSeq lists it as uncharacterized. The record is from RefSeq and is a predicted model, not a curated record. Lineage: Eukaryota; Viridiplantae; Streptophyta; Magnoliopsida; Arecales; Arecaceae.